Molecule: ribosomal RNA, 393 nt
Filed under: uncultured archaeon
Lineage: Archaea
Description: bacterial SSU rRNA
Rfam family: Archaeal small subunit ribosomal RNA
Source: RNAcentral
GUUUCGGCUAAGCCAUGCGAGCCUAGGGAUCGCAAGAUGCCGGCAUACUGCUCAGUAACACGCGGAUAAUCUGCCCCCAGGUGAAGAAUACCCUCGGGAAACUGAGGCUAAUACUUCAUAAUCACUAUAUGCUGGAAUGCUUAGGUAAUGAAAGAAUUUCGCCUGAGGAUGAGUCUGCGGCCUAUCAGGUCGUAUGUGGUGUAAUGGACCACAUAGCCUAAGACGGGUACGGGCCUUGAAAGAGGGAGCCCGGAGAUGGACUCUGAGACAUUAGUCCAGGCCCUACGGGGCGCAGCAGGCGCGAAAACUGUGCAAUGCGCGAAAGCGCGACACGGGAAGCCUGAGUGCCUUAACACAGUUAAGGCUUUUCUCAAGCCUAAAAAGCUUGAGGAA